This is a long non-coding RNA of Gordionus sp. m RMFG-2023, 2918 nucleotides long. RefSeq lists it as uncharacterized. The transcript has 5 exons. The record is from RefSeq and is a predicted model, not a curated record. Lineage: Eukaryota; Metazoa; Nematomorpha; Gordioida; Chordodea; Parachordodidae.
AUAUACAAAGUUAUGAAGGAAGUUAAUUUUGCCCAAUAUUUUUUAAUCAAGAAAAUGGAUGUAUAAAUAAUAUCGUGAAAGAAAUUCAAUCACCUCAAAAAUUAAAUAAAAGUGGUAGACCAUUAGGAUUCAUAGUAUUGGAUUCAUAAAAAGGCAUACAAUUCCUAAGAAAAUCAUAAUUAAAAAGUUAAAAUUUCAUAGUUAGUUAUUUAACUACAACAUAUGAUGUUGAUUAUUAAGAACAAGACCUUAAUUUCAAAAACUUUGUUGACCCAAAAAUAGUUCUUACCAAAGAUGAUAAAAAAUAUUCUUUAUGCCUUUUGAAGGAUCUUCAAUGGACCUAGUAGACUUUGUACACUCAGACUCAAAAUUAAAAAAUUAUAAGAUUUUGUAAUUAUUUACAGUUAAUUAUGACUCACUUUUUAAAAUCAUUCAACAUAUAUGUAACAUGUUUAAAAUCCAACUACCAAUAUUUGGAAGAAAUAUGCUUCUCGCAAAAAAAGAAAGUCCACAAAAUAUUGGAAGGGUGCUAACUACUCCAUCACAAUUGAAGCAUAUGGGGAUUGUUUUUACAGAUGUAUAAGUAUGGAGAUUCCAGGAAAACAAGACUCUUAUGAUUUGAUUAAAUCUAGGGCUGUGCCGAUCCACAAAUUUUUCACCGAUCCUAUAUUUCCCGAUAUUGGUUUAAACCCGAUCCGAUAUUUAUAUUGAUUUUUCACCACCCACCUUUGAACCAAAUAUAAUUAAGAAAUCAAUAUUUUUUUAUGGAAAAAAUCGAAUUAUGCAUUUAAUUAAUUUUUUUUACAAUAAUUAAAAAAGUUUAUGGAUAUUGGUAGUAUUAAAUGAAUUUUUCAUUAUUACUCUCCGUGAAAUUAGAAUUCUCCAGAAAACAUACUUUCAAAAUUAUCUUUGUCUUUUAUAAAUCCAUAAUUCCGAUAUCAUAUUUAAAAAAAUUCUUUUAUUUAAAGUAUAAAUACCUUUAUUUGAACGUUGGUCAUAGACCUGCUCAAAGGUAAGCGUACUUGAAUUAUAUGAAGACCCAUCCUUCAUAUAAUUAUGCCGAUUUAUACCAACAAACCUUGUAACCCAGAUAUGAGGUUAUAUGAGAGUGGAACUACAUCCGAGCCAUAGAAAGAAGUCGAAUAUAAAAAUAAAAAAGAAAGACCUUUCUUCCAAAAACCUAUAUUUUAAUAAUCAAUUUAAUAAAUUUAGUUAGAAAUUCGUAAAUAUUAAAUUAUAAAUAAUAAAAUUGGCGUUAUUAUUUAAAAAGAUUUAAAAUAAAUAAAACUUUGGGUGUUCCUUUCUAUUUUUAUAAAAAAAAACUUUUAAAAUACUAUAAAUCUAUUUUAAAAAAUAAAUAAAAUUUAAGGGGUGUUGUCAGGGUUGCCAGAUUUUCUUCACUUGAAAACGUGAGUUUUCUUUUAUAAUAAUUAAUGGGGGACUUCCCCCCCCCCCCCCCCCGGGGAAAUUGAUGUAGCAUACUCAUCUAAUUUAAUAUGUUAUAUUUAAUAUAAUAAGGUUUUAAAGACAAUAAUAAUUCUUUAUUGAUUUACUAAUAACAAGGUUUUAAAGACAAUAAAAAUUCUUUAUUGAUUUACUAAUAACAAUUAUGAUAUAUAAUUUUCUCAUGUUUAUAAAUAUAGCAUAAUAUUAAUUAUUAUAUUUUAUGGAUGAUUUUAAAAGAGGCAAUAAAGAUUUCCCAUAGGCACUGUGGAGAUAGGCUGAAAACUCUUUGCAUGAAUAGUUAUAUUUUGUUUAACCAUAAGUUCAGCUUCCAAUGAUGACGUUCUUUUCGCCAAGCAGUAGUCAUUAGACUGAAUAUUCUCUCUGAUGAAGCAAAAGGAAUGCGGAAUAGAAAAUAUAAAAUUGCAUAUUUUCUCUAUAAAUGGUGAGUUUUUAUUAGAAAGAAAAUCCAUCCAUUUUUCUUGGGUAUUCAUGUGAUAGUUUUUUGAUAAUUUUUCUUCAUAAUAGGAAUAAAAUUGUGAAUAUUCCUCAAAGAAAAUUUCUGUAUCUAUGUUUGGUAUUUUAUAAUUACUAAUAAAUUUUUGUAAUUGUUCAAAUUCUGGACAUUAUUUUAAUGUCACUUAGGGCUAAGAUAUUUCCAUAUAUUAUCUAUAAUAUCAUAACGUUUUUCUACAUAUUCUAUAAUAUUUUUUAUAAAUAUCUUUGAUUCAUUUUUGAAAUUUAUUGCCUUUUUUUACAUCAUUAUGUUGUAAAAUAUUUUUAGAAAUGCUCCCAUAAAAUUUUGUUAAAUUUUUAAAUUUAAUGAAUUCUUUAGUUUUAGGAUAAGAUCAUGUAUAUAUAUUGCUAAUACAUCUUCAGAUUGCAAUUGUAAAUUUGUGUUAUUGACUAAAGUGCCAACGUUAAGGACAACACCUAAAUAUGCCUCUGCAAAAUCAUCUCCAAAAAUUAUUUUCAAAAUUGGUGGGGUCUGAUAAUGAUAAAAAAUAUUCUUUAAGGAGUUGAAAAUACUUAAGCAUCCGCUUAAUCGCUGGGAAUAACGUGAGCCAGCGUGUUGGAACAUGGCGAAGUGAUUCUGACCAUUCUAAAUUGCACCAUUCUACCAAUUCUUUUAAAAUUGUAACUCUUUUUGUCGUGCUAAAUUCAUUAUAGCAUUUAAUUAAUAUACUUUCAAUAUCAUAUUUAAGAAAAAUUAUGGCCUUUUUAAACGAAUUGUGAAGAAUGUGGCAUAUACAACACAUUUAAUAAUAUUAUUAAUAUGGCUUUUCAAUUCUGUCCAAAUACUUUAAUUUUUCCCAAAGUUUACAGAUGCGUUAUCUGCACAAUAGGCCGUUAUAUUAGCAAUAUCAAGUUCAGCGAAUUUUAGAUUUUCUAGCAAGCAUCUAGAUAUGUCUUUAGGGGUUUCACUGUCAGACGAAAAAAUUUUAAGUAAUUAAACAUUUAUUUCAUUCUUUUCG